This is a small nucleolar RNA of Dioscorea cayenensis subsp. rotundata (Guinea yam), 107 nucleotides long. NCBI's taxonomy places the organism in Eukaryota, Viridiplantae, Streptophyta, Magnoliopsida, Dioscoreales, Dioscoreaceae. The record is from RefSeq and is a predicted model, not a curated record.
AAACCAUGAUGAGGACAUCUUCUUAGGAUAUCCUUGAAACUUUCAUGCGCCUCAAAGAGUGUCUCAAAAUUACCCUUCUUGAAGGCCGAAAUCUCUUGCCUUAGUCU